Molecule: ribosomal RNA, 450 nt
Filed under: uncultured bacterium
Lineage: Bacteria
Description: bacterial SSU rRNA
Rfam family: Bacterial small subunit ribosomal RNA
Source: RNAcentral
GUGGGGAAUAUUGGACAAUGGGCGAAAGCCUGAUCCAGCCAUGCCGCGUGUGUGAAGAAGGUCUUCGGAUUGUAAAGCACUUUAAGUUGGGAGGAAGGGCAGUAAGUUAAUACCUUGCUGUUUUGACGUUACCGACAGAAUAAGCACCGGCUAACUUCGUGUCAGCAGCCGCGGUAAUACGAAGGGUGCAAGCGUUAAUCGGAAUUACUGGGCGUAACGCGCGCGUAGGUGGUUUUGUAAGUUGGAGGUGAAAUCCCCGGGCUCAACCUGGGAACUGCCUCCAAAACUGCAUGACUAGAGUACGGUAGAGGGUAGUGGAAUUUCCUGUGUAGCGGUGAAAUGCGUAGAUAUAGGAAGGAACACCAGUGGCGAAGGCGACUACCUGGACUGAUACUGACACUGAGGUGCGAAAGCGUGGGGAGCAAACAGGAUUAGAUACCCUAGUAGUCC